CAUCUAAAGUUUUUUUUGAGCCAUCAUAGAAUUGAGCAAAUCAAGCAAAACAGUGAUUAUAUUUUUAAAGUAGGCUACCACACAGCUGACUCA
Etheostoma cragini (Arkansas darter) is the source of this 93-nucleotide long non-coding RNA. RefSeq lists it as uncharacterized. NCBI's taxonomy places the organism in Eukaryota, Metazoa, Chordata, Actinopteri, Perciformes, Percidae. The transcript has 3 exons. The record is from RefSeq and is a predicted model, not a curated record.